GGAGAUGGCCGGACGGUCGCGGGCACCAUCGGUGCCUGAGGAAAGUCCGAGCUCCACAGAGCAGGUUCGCGGGUAACGCCCGUCCGCCGUGAGGCGAGGACCAGCGCCACAGUGACGAUGCCUGCGUGCAGACGCAGGAGUGAAACGCGGCAAGCUCGAGCCGGAGCAAGACCAAAUAGGAGGACGCAAGGCGACGUUCGCGUCGCAGCAGGCUGCUCGCUCAGCCCUCGGGUUGGUCGCACGAGAGAUCGGGCAACCGGUCUCCAAGAUGGAUGACCGUCGCCGGGCGCGAGCCCGGGACAGAACUCGGCUUACAGGCCAUUCUCCAGGC
This 331-nucleotide RNase P RNA is filed under the name Chloroflexota bacterium. RNAcentral describes it as "RNase P RNA component class A". It matches the Rfam family "Bacterial RNase P class A". Rfam says of the family: Ribonuclease P (RNase P) is a ubiquitous endoribonuclease, found in archaea, bacteria and eukarya as well as chloroplasts and mitochondria. Its best characterised activity is the generation of mature 5'-ends of tRNAs by cleaving the 5'-leader elements of precursor-tRNAs. Cellular RNase Ps are ribonucleoproteins. Lineage: Bacteria; Bacillati; Chloroflexota. The record is from RNAcentral.